GAUGAACGCUGGCGGCGUGCUUAACACAUGCAAGUCGAACGGAAAGGCCCAAGCUUGCUUGGGUACUCGAGUGGCGAACGGGUGAGUAACACGUGGGUGAUCUGCCCUGCACUUCGGGAUAAGCCUGGGAAACUGGGUCUAAUACCGGAUAGGACCACAUUUUGGAUGGUGUGGUGGAAAGUUUUUCGGUGUGGGAUGAGCUCGCGGCCUAUCAGCUUGUUGGUGGGGUAAUGGCCUACCAAGGCGUCGACGGGUAGCCGGCCUGAGAGGGUGUACGGCCACAUUGGGACUGAGAUACGGCCCAGACUCCUACGGGAGGCAGCAGUGGGGAAUAUUGCACAAUGGGCGCAAGCCUGAUGCACCGACGCCGCGUGGGGGAUGACGGCCUUCGGGUUGUAAACUCCUUUCGCUAGGGACGAAGCGUUAUGUGACGGUACCUGGAGAAGAAGCACCGGCUAACUACGUG
Molecule: ribosomal RNA, 466 nt
Filed under: uncultured bacterium
Lineage: Bacteria
Description: partial 16S ribosomal RNA
Rfam family: Bacterial small subunit ribosomal RNA
Source: RNAcentral